AUUGAACGCUGGCGGCAGGCCUAACACAUGCAAGUCGAGCGGAUGAAGGGAGCUUGCUCCUGGAUUCAGCGGCGGACGGGUGAGUAAUGCCUAGGAAUCUGCCUGGUAGUUGGGGAUAACGUCCGGAAACGGGCGCUAAUACCGCAUACGUCCUGAGGGAGAAAGUGGGGGAUCUUCGGACCUCACGCUAUCAGAUGAGCCUAGGUCGGAUUAGCUAGUUGGUGGGGUAAAGGCUUACCAAGGCGACGAUCCGUAACUGGUCUGAGAGGAUGAUCAGUCACACUGGAACUGAGACACGGUCCAGACUCCUACGGGAGGCAGCAGUGGGGAAUAUUGGACAAUGGGCGAAAGCCUGAUCCAGCCAUGCCGCGUGUGUGAAGAAGGUCUUCGGAUUGUAAAGCACUUUAAGUUGGGAGGAAGGGCAGUAAGUUAAUACCUUGCUGUUUUGACGUUACCAACAGAAUAAGCACCGGCUAACUUCGUG
RNAcentral lists this ribosomal RNA (484 nucleotides) under uncultured bacterium. Its description in RNAcentral is "partial 16S ribosomal RNA". It matches the Rfam family "Bacterial small subunit ribosomal RNA", at positions 30 to 507 of the family's 1533-position model. The record is from RNAcentral.